This is a long non-coding RNA of Symphalangus syndactylus (siamang), 1357 nucleotides long. RefSeq lists it as uncharacterized. Lineage: Eukaryota; Metazoa; Chordata; Mammalia; Primates; Hylobatidae. The record is from RefSeq and is a predicted model, not a curated record.
UCUGUCGCCCAGGCUGGAGCACAAUGUCAUGAUCUUGGCUCACUGCAGCCUCCACCUCACAAGUUGAAGCCAUUCUCCUGCCUCAGCCUCCCAAAGUACUGGGAUUACAGGGACUGCAUCCACGGACUCCUUUGCUCUCUGGCUUCUGGUUGGAUUUGACCAGUGAAAUAUAUCACAGGAGACAGAGGAAGGAGGUUGCUGAUUCUCUUGGAUAUCCUGGAUAAUCGACUCUCUUUGAUGUCUUAGAUAAGCAAACAUGUCAUCUACCAAUGACAAUUUUACUUCUCCUUUGUAAUCAGUAAAACUUUUAUGUCUCUUUCAUGUAUUACUGAAUGGUCUAAAGUUUCUUGAAAGGUUGUGAUAAUGGGCUUUUAGGACCUUGACUUGCACCUGAUUUUAAUUGGAAUGUCUCUAAUUAUUCAACAUUAGUAUGCAGUUGGUUCUUGAUUUUAGAUAUUCUUUAUAAUGUUUAAGAAGUGUCUUUAUAAUUUCCAGUUCACUACACAUGGCUGUUAUAUGUGUUUUCAUUUCCCAUUAAUCUGGAAUGGGUAAUAAUUUCAUUAAAUGACUUCUCAUACUUUUUGAGAUUAUUAGAAAUGUUCCUUCUCUAAUACAUGAAGAUUUAUUAAAAUAAUACGACUAAUUUUAUAACAGCCUUUUAUUUCAGGAAUAAAACCUACAUAGUCAUAGUAUACUAAUCUUUAAAUACAGUUCUGGACCUUAAUUUCUUGGCAUUUCUUAAAGGUUUUCCCAUUUAUUUUCAAAAUUACAGAUGAGAUCUUUGUUCCUUCUGUGCUAUCAUUGUCACAUUUUGGUGAAAUAAAUUUGCGAACAUUUCUGUCUUUUCUCUGCUUUGAAACAACUUUAAUAACAUGAGAAUUAAUCCAUAACACCAUAAAAUAUUUAACAUUGCCUGUUCCUGGGGUCAUUCCAUAUUAUAGGCGUUCUACUAUGUUUUAAAUUUUAUGUUUUAUUCAGGUUUUUCAUUCUUCUUGAAACAUGUUUGAUUGUUUAUGUUUUCAUAAAACAUGAGUUUUGAGAUAGUGAAAUGUAUUAGUAUAGAGCUUCCAUGACUUAUUCUCAAUUCAAAAAAAAUUAAAAAUUGUAUUUUGAAUUUGUCAAUGCUACUCUUUUUUGUAUAAACGCAUUAGCUUAUAAUCCCUGUUUGCCCUUUCUUCCUACAAUUUGAUUUUAUUGUUAUUCCUACACAUUAAAAUUUCAUAAGGUUCAUCCUUAAUUAACUUAAUUCAUUUUGAUGUUUUCAAUAAUGAAAUUAUUCAGUAUUAUUCAUUUCCCUGUGUGUAUAGCUUUGGUCCCAUUCUCUACCUUCUCUUAUGGUUUCUUUAUUUUUAUCAGG